Molecule: ribosomal RNA, 706 nt
Filed under: Artyfechinostomum sufrartyfex
Lineage: Eukaryota; Metazoa; Platyhelminthes; Trematoda; Plagiorchiida; Echinostomatidae
Description: eukaryotic LSU rRNA
Rfam family: Eukaryotic large subunit ribosomal RNA (bases 549-706)
Source: RNAcentral
GGACAGUAAAGUCGGCUCGUGGAGCAGGUUGACACCCGCCACUGCGUUCAAAUCGACAUCUUGAACGCAUAUUGCGGCCAUGGGUUAGCCUGUGGCCACGCCUGUCCGAGGGUCGGCUUAUAAACUAUCACGACGCCCAAAAAGUCGUGGCUUGGGUUUUGCCAGCUGGCGUGAUUUCCUCUGUGACUUGUCACGUGAGGUGCCACAUCUAUGGCGUUUCCCUAAUGUAUCCGGACGCGUCCUUGUCUUGGCUGAAAGCCAUGGUAAGGUGUGGUGGCGGAAUCGUGGUUUAAUAUGACUAUGCCCCGUUUUCAUCAUGUUUGGCGAUCUCCUAUUCGGCAUGCAUAUGACUACCGCUGGAGUUAUGAUCGGGUUGGUACCUCGGUUUCAUUGUGGUUGGCGCUUUCAGUCGGCAUACUUAUGGACUCUAGGGUAAUUCCAUACCAAGCACGUUACGUUACUUUCACUCUGUCGUUGGUUGGAAGCUGGCUUGGGCAAUGCAUCUGAUGUUACAGAUUGAUUAACAGUUGCCUGUUGGCACUGUUUCCUGACCUCGGUUCAGACGUGAUUACCCGCUGAACUUAAGCAUAUCACUAAGCGGAGGAAAAGAAACCUAUCCAGGGAUCCCAACGAAGAGGAACAAUCAAUGUUGGAAGCGGGGGGGAUCAACCGGAUCCCCGAGCCGGGUGGUCCAACGAGAACCAUC